Molecule: ribosomal RNA, 427 nt
Filed under: uncultured bacterium
Lineage: Bacteria
Description: partial 16S ribosomal RNA
Rfam family: Bacterial small subunit ribosomal RNA
Source: RNAcentral
UGGGGAAUAAUGGACAAUGGGCGAAAGCCUGAUCCAGCCAUGCCGCGUGUGUGAAGAAGGUCUUCGGAUUGUAAAGCACUUUAAGUUGGGAGGAAGGGCAUUAACCUAAUACGUUAGUGUUUUGACGUUACCGACAGAAUAAGCACCGGCUAACUCUGUGCCAGCAGCCGCGGUAAUACAGAGGGUGCAAGCGUUAAUCGGAAUUACUGGGCGUAAAGCGCGCGUAGGUGGUUUGUUAAGUUGGAUGUGAAAUCCCCGGGCUCAACCUGGGAACUGCAUUCAAAACUGACUGACUAGAGUAUGGUAGAGGGUGGUGGAAUUUCCUGUGUAGCGGUGAAAUGCGUAGAUAUAGGAAGGAACACCAGUGGCGAAGGCGACCACCUGGACUAAUACUGACACUGAGGUGCGAAAGCGUGGGGAGCAAACA